UACGUAGGGGGCAAGCGUUAUCCGGAUUUACCGGGUGUAAAGGGAGCGUAGACGGAAUAGCAAGUCUGAUGUGAAAACCCGGGGCUCAACUCCGGGAGUGCAUUGGAAACUGUUGAUCUAGAGUGUCGGAGAGGCAAGCGGAAUUCCUAGUGUAGCGGUGAAAUGCGUAGAUAUUAGGAGGAACACCAGUGGCGAAGGCGGCUUGCUGGACGAUGACUGACGUUGAGGCUCGAAAGCGUGGGGAGCAAACAGG
Molecule: ribosomal RNA, 253 nt
Filed under: uncultured bacterium
Lineage: Bacteria
Description: partial 16S ribosomal RNA
Rfam family: Bacterial small subunit ribosomal RNA
Source: RNAcentral